CUUAUGUAAAGGCUGUACUGCCAUCUAGUGAGGGAGGAAGGCUUUCCCUGUGGUUUCCAGCCCUCAUGUGCAGGCAGUGCGUAGAUUUUUCCUCAGCCUGCCAAGAGGCAUUGAUAGGAUUUUGUUUUCUACUAAAACCAUAAAAACAGUACAGACACAAUGAGCCUUGACAUAUGAUCACGUGCAGCCUUGUAGAGGAUCUUCAGCCUGAAGGUGCUCACCUACAGAGCCUGGAGGCACUCUUCUCCGACCGACCAGCAGAACCAGAGGCGCUGACCCUGAUUGGAGAUGCGAAAGAUAAUUGUUCCCAUCGCUGUUGGAAUGGUGCCCCCCCCCCCAAUCCCUGGGAUGUGGCAGGGAUGUCAGGUGGUGCCGUGAAGAUGGUAUGACGGUGAGGUGGACGGCAUCCGAACGCCAGGCCUGGUUGUUUCCACGGCGCCCUGCUGGCGUCUCAGGUUAGGCGACGUUGAGCAGAUCGCCCCCUGGAGGAGGAGAUCAUUCCCUACAAACUGGCUGAGGUUCUUAGGCAGAAACCCGGAGCUGUGAACAUGGCCAACAAUCCGAGCCCCCGGCUGUCACUCACUCGACGGCGUCUAUCGGAAAAGAACGGAACCCUCCAGCGUCCUGGCUGCCAGUCAGAGAACGGCCGAGAGCCGACGGGCGUCUGCGUACGAGUGCCGCUGACGACCGGGACGGGCCUCGUGGCGGCUUUUGGUGGGGAGUGUCAUCUGUUCAGCAAGCCGCUCGUUACCGAAUUUUUUUCUUCAUACGGUUAAUCUCCUGCGGAGAGAGUGCUACGGAAAACGUUUGUAGAAACUCCUACAUCGAACAGGGACACGGUCUAAAAAAAAAACAACAAAAAAAAAAACAGGAGCCGUAAAAUCUCAUGCAGGCAGCCGUCUAAGACGGUUUUCGUUUUUUGAAUGUGUAGGCUGGGGAAAUGAAAAAUGACAGAGUGGGUUGAAAACACCGAAGGAAGAAAAAAGAGCAGAAAGGGCCUCGCUUUUCCUCCUAGUGAGAAGCUGCCAGCCCCGCGGCUCGGGGUGAGUUACUCCUGCAAGCCUGGCUGUCCAGAGCCGGCCUGCAUGCAGACGCCUGUCCUGCCACAAUGACUCGCUUUGGGCUGCGGUCUGGCCUCUCCGGCUGCGAGCCGCCUGCCCCCCACCCCCUUUGCCGGGGGGGGGGGGAUGGAUGGUCACCAGCCACUGUGAGCCAGUGGGACCUCAACAAGGGGGGCCUGGUAAUACUCAGAUGACGCUGGACAGGUGGCAUGAUGCCAGAUUGAGGGCCCACAGGGAGGUGACAGGUACCUGCAGCAUGGGGUGUGCAGGGGGAGGGGCGAAUGCAGGGCUGACUGCUUACCUGCCUGAUUAACACCUGGCUUCAGCACUAGGUAGGCUCGGACAUGGCCCCAUGAUUCUAACACUCUGCAGAAUGUCACCGAGGUCCCUGGGGUGGGGGCGGGGGAGCACGGAACACCAUUCAUGCAGACAAGAGCUGGUUUUAAUUUUUGGCACUUUCUGUUAACUCAUCAGGAAAAAAAAUAUAAUAAACUGCCAGGAAUGUAUGGUAGAACUUAAAUUCAUUCACAACCAACUGCAAUUGGGCAAUAAAUGAUGGAGUGUGAAAUGUGGACCACACAUUACUGAUUGGCAAGCGCCUCUGCAUAAUUAAAGACCGUAGUGUGUAAUUAAAUGGUAUUUCUGUGUGAGUCCCCAAAGUUUAUCCAAAGUUACAAAUCCCAAGUUUAAACCCAGUCAAAAUGACUAAGGGGAUUAUGCACAGAAAGGGAAUUUUUCACAAUGGAAUUUUAAUACGAAUUUGACUCAACAGAUACAUCAGAUUCGCAGCAGGACACUUAGAAAGGCUGAGCUAAUUCUCUGGAGUGGGCUUUGUCUGCCUUUAAAAUGCACAAACACUCAUGUGUCAGCUCCCUACCCAUGCCUUUGACAGCAAUCCAUUGUAAUAAUGAUCUCACUUUCUGUCUCUGUCGCGUUCCUCCAUGGGGCGACAGGUUGGCCGCAGCCAAUCAAGAUUCACCCUCAUCCAGGUAGGCGAAGUCACCGGGUUGCCCUGGGCUCGAGUGCUGGAGGUGGGUCAGGGCCCAUUGUGUGUCGUGCCCCCCCGUAGCCCUCCCCAUGUCCCUACCCAGGGCUUGUGAAGAGCAGGUAACACAAAGCCUGCCCUAUUGCCUUCAGAAGGCGCCUUCUCACAGCGGCGAGGAGGUGGGCUUGUGCCAUGGGAGCCUUUGUGUGGGCUCUUCUCUUUUGUACCUGUCAGUGAUCACAGGCUUCAGUGGUGCCUGUUCCCCGUUUGGCUCCAGACAGGUCAGCAGAGAGGUAGAGCCCUGCGACACCCUUAAUUAAACUUGUCAGCCCCGCAUACCUCGACACCCGGCGCAGGUCGUCAGAUAAGACAUAAUUGAUGAGUUUGAAAUGUUGUGAUAGCUUUGAUUUUCUCCCGUUUUAACGUCUCUGUUUUUCUUGAUCCCCCAGGUCAUUGACAUAUAAUUUCUUUCCUUCAGUCCUUUUUCUUUUCAUAAUUCUUAGUUCCUCUCGGUGAGAAUGCACAUGCAGAACCACAGACCCCCAGGAUGGUUCAUAGUGGGGUUCAUGUACGAGGAAGUCUUCGAUUACUUUGGUUGUCUUAUGACAGCUUCUUUGGGCUUCACAGAGGUCAGUCUCUGCAGCAGGUAGGACCAGGUUAUGGGCUCAGAGCUCAAUUUGUGUGGCUCCCAUUACAUGACAGAAUUUAAGUGCGCAGGACAGUGUCUUACAUGCGCAAAUACAGCAUUCAGGCGCAUACAUGUAACGGGGACCUCACGUACACAUCAAUGCCUGGCCAUGCUGUUGAGUAUUGCAUCUACCCUGAGCCCUCCCAGGUAGAGCAAUUGAUUAGAUAAUAAUUACUCAUAAUGAGCCAAUGACAGAGAGUUUAUGACAGCAAUGUGCGAUAAACUAAGCAUUUUACUGGUGUUUCUUUUGAUUUAAGUGACCAUACGAGUCUCGAUUCAGCCAGCCUGCUACCUUAAUGGUUCUACUGAAAGACCCGUCCACACAUGCAAGCCAUUAACGGCUGCUGACCCCUCGUCGCCUACGUGACUGACACCGCAGGAAGAUGUCUGCUCCAGGAUGAGAGCGUGUGCAUCGUACCCCUGACCCCGCAGCUGUCGAGAAGCUACUCAGUGUCCUGUGGAAACAGAAUUAAAUAUUGGGCUGAAAUAUUAGAAACGCCUUGAAGUAGCGUUGGGCAGCACAAAAUUGGUCAUUUUCGAAAAAGCAAAACACGAAGUUCAUAUUUUCCUGUCGCUUUCAAUCACACUCAAGCCAGUGAAGGUUUUUCAUGCCGAAGUGAAUUGCGAGGACAUAUGGCUCAGAUUAACGCUAAAACAGUAGCCGGACGAUGGUGCGAUUGUGCUGGGGCUCUAAUUAGCCUCGCAAAAUCGAGCUGUGGCGGUGAUAAAAACGCGCGAUUCUUUCGCUAGCUUCAGCCAGCCUUCCCUCACAUCUGCACGUCGCCAUGGCCGCUUGGGAGCCGGCGUAAUGAUACGUUUCUGCGCUAUUUCUGUGUGGUCCGCUUCUCGCUCUCUUCACCCCGCUUUUGGUUUGUUUAUUACUCCCCAGAAGGGGGGGGGGAAGGCUCCGUACCAAAAUUAGUUUACUUCAUUUAUUUUUAACCACCCAGAGCCUUCCGUUGUAAUUUAGCGCCGUGCGGCCUUGGACUUCUCGUGAUUCGUGGUCGGACGUGACACUGUUAAAGUUUUGAUUUCCCAGCAUUCCACGCCACUCGCUUCCAUUAGCGUAAAUAACAGAAUAUUGGUGGCAGCAUGGAAGCCGCGCGCCACGAAAACGUUGGUACCCGCUGCUCGUGCCGCCUUGUGCCGUCUCGUUUAAUCGGCUUGUUUCCUAAUUAUAGGUCUCGCACCGCAGCUCCUGGGUGUGGCACCGGGGAAGACCGUAAAACUUACUGUAAAUGCUGUGCACGCGCGCGCGCUGCUAAUGCUGAUUACGCCGCUUAUGUCAUACUCCCGAAUGGGCGCCGAAGAAUCACGAUGCCGUCCGCCUCCAGCGUUAUGCGCCCGUGAGCCUCUCGCAACGCUAACUGUGCCAAAAUGGCUGCUGGCGUGAGACAAAAACAGCAGAUCUAUGCUUUUCGGGCACCGUUUGCAAUGUUGCUUCCCUUCCAGUAAAUAUUCCCUUUAUUAGUUAAUGUGCUGCUGUGAUGUAUAAUUCAGCAAAGCCUGGCCUCAGAGUUCAUACAGACCUGACAGGGAUAUGGCUAGGGUAUGGGAUGCAAAGCCACAACCUUCUGGAGAUGGACACCGAUCCCAAUCACACUGAGCCACGGCCUACCCACUAUCCAGUGACUGUUCAGAGAGGAAGUAGAAAGCUUCAGUAUAAAGAAACCUGGUAGGACAGUUGUGCUUUAACGUCUGCUUUGAAGGGGGGCGGGAUUCGGUGUUUCCAGAUACAGUGCUUCACGUUUCUCCCGCCAGAUUGUAAAAGACAAUCCGUUUUUCUUAGCUAAGUGGCUCUACGUCUGAUGUGCUAUUUUCUGCAAGAACCCAAGGAAAGUAUUGGAGUAUAAAUUUAAAUGUACUGUCGUGUGAUUUUGUCAUGUGUGUUGCCUCCCCCUCAUCUAUAGGUUUUAAAAGAAUAUAAUUUUUCAGUCGUGAGGAAUGAAAACCCGCAGUGUGGCUCUGUGUGGGGGCGCACACUGGCCAUCGGACUGUACACCUGUGGCGGCCACCCUUCACUCACGCUCCGGUGUGUAUAAAUCCCUAAGAACCACAGAAUCUGCCAGUGACACAGCCACUGCGGUAGAUCAGCGGCCUGGCGGAGGCUCAGCGCCCAGCUCCCGCGUUGGUCAGACUCCGACAUGCGAUCUCCCACUUCGUGUGUUUGAUCAGCGAGUCGCCGCACCUUGGCAGGAGUGACCCGACUCGUGGUGGCCGUUGAUCAAUCAGUCACAGUCCCGGCAUGGCGGUGUCACCUGAAGGCUGACAGAUCCAGCUAUGGGGGGAUCAGACCCCACAGUGUGAUGCACCCUUCAGUUUCCCAGCGGUGUUAGCGCCUCCUGCAGUCCGCAGCCUGCCAUGCACCCAAGAACACUGAGGCGUUUCAUUACCCUGUUCUGCUUUGGGUAUACCAAAGAAAAUGAACUCGACCAUUAAUUACGAGUCAUAGCUUAGGGGAGCUGAGGCCGGAUCACGGGGGGAGUCCAUGCUGCGGAUUAUCCUGCAAGUCAGACGAGGGAGGCCCCUCCGAUGUGUCCACUGAGGGGAUGCCUGCCCCCUUCUCAUUCGUGGGGAGGUACCAAGGGGACAGCGGGGGGAAUAAAUAUCGGGGAUGACUCUCCGUUUAUGGGAAAUGCCACCACACCCUGUCGUUUAGGAGUAAGAGCGUUCUGCUGGGACAUCUCUACAGAUAGGGUUAUGGCAGUGAUAACCUUGCCAUUACCAUGAGGUUACUGUUCUGCUUAUAGCAGAGUCAUGGUAAUUACCGCGACUCUCUUUUCCUCCCUCGACCCCCCCCAUGCCCCCCAACCACAUCACGGUGCGAAUCCCCACUUCCUCCAGGACCUGCCCCCUCUCCACCGCCUGCUAUGCGCAUGCCAGGCCGCCCAUCAGGCCGCGGCUCGUGGUAGAGGGAGCAGGCGAGCUCCCACACGGCCUCCGGUAGCCGUCUCCCACCGCUGUCUC
Molecule: long non-coding RNA, 5701 nt
Organism: Brienomyrus brachyistius
Lineage: Eukaryota; Metazoa; Chordata; Actinopteri; Osteoglossiformes; Mormyridae
Exons: 6
Source: RefSeq, a predicted model, not a curated record